UUGACCUCAAAUCAGGUGGGACUACCCGCUGAACUUAAGCAUAUCAAUAAGCGGAGGAAAAGAAACUAACAAGGACUCCCUUAGUAACUGCGAGUGAAGUGGGAAGAGCUCAAAUUUGAAAUCUGGCAGUCUCUGGCUGUCCGAGUUGUAAUCUAGAGAAGUGUUGCCCGCGCUGGACCGUGUACAAGUCUCCUGGGAUGGAGCGUCAUAGAGGGUGAGAAUCCCGUCUCUGACAUGGACUACCAGGGCUUUUGUGGUGCGCUCUCAAAGAGUCGAGUUGUUUGGGAAUGCAGCUCAAAAUGGGUGGUAAAUUCCAUCUAAAGCUAAAUAUUGGCGAGAGACCGAUAGUGAACAAGUACCGUGAGGGAAAGAUGAAAAGAAYUUUGGAAAGAGAGUUAAACAGUACGUGAAAUUGCUGAAAGGGAAACGCUUGAAGUCAGUCGCGUUGGCCAGGGAUCAGCCUUGCUUCUUAGUGUGGUGUACUUCCUGGUUGACGGGUCAGCAUCGGUUU
Molecule: ribosomal RNA, 511 nt
Filed under: Leucocoprinus gongylophorus
Lineage: Eukaryota; Fungi; Basidiomycota; Agaricomycetes; Agaricales; Agaricaceae
Description: eukaryotic LSU rRNA
Rfam family: Eukaryotic large subunit ribosomal RNA
Source: RNAcentral